CCUGUGUUGUGAGGUGUGUGUCUGAUACAUGUGUUACUAACUGGUUCCUGUGUUGUGAGGUGUGUGUUUCUGAUACCCUGUUUUACUAACUGGUUCCUGUGUUGUGAGGUGUGUGUCUGAUACAUGUGUUACUAACUGGUCCCAGUGUUGUGAGGUGUGUGUGUCUGAUACCCUGUGCUACUAUCUGGUCCCUGUGUUGUGAGAUGUGUGUGUCUGAUACCCUGUGUUACCAACUGGCCCCUGUGUUGUGAGGUGUGCGUGUCUGAUACCCUGUGUUACUAACUGGUUCCUGUGUUGUGAGGUGUGUGUGUCUGAUACCCUGUGUUACUAACUGGUUCCUGUGUUGUGAGGUGUGUGUCUGAUGGCCUGUGUUACUAACUGGUCCCUGUGUUGUGAGGUGUGUGUCUGAUGGCCUGUGUUACUAACUGGUCCCUGUGUUGUGAGGUGUGUGUGUCUGAUACCCUGUGUUACUAACUGGUCCCUCUGUUGUGAGGUGUGUGUGUCUGAUACCCUGUGUUACUAACUGGUCCCUCUGUUGUGAGGUGUGUGUGUCUGAUGGCCUGUGUUACUAACUGGUUCCUGUGUUGUGAGGUGUGUGUCUGAUACCCUGUGUUACUAACUGGUCCCUCUGUUGUGAGGUGUGUGUGUCUGAUGGCCUGUGUUACUAACUGGUUCCUGUGUUGUGAGGUGUGUGUGUCUGAUGGCCUGUGUUACUAACUGGUUCCUGUGUUGUGAGGUGUGUGUCUGAUACCCUGUGUUACUAACUGGUUCCUGUGUUGUGAGGUGUGUGUCUGAUGGCCUGUGUUACUAACUGGUUCCUGUGUUGUGAGGUGUGUGUCUGAUACCCUGUGUUACUAACUGGUUCCUGUGUUGUGAGGUGUGUGUGUCUGAUACCCUGUGUUACUAACUGGUUCCUGUGUUGUGAGGUGUGUGUGUCUGAUACCCUGUGUUACUAACUGGUUCCUGUGUUGUGAGGUGUGUGUGUCUGAUACCCUGUGUUACUAACUGGUCCCUGUGUUGUGAGGUGUGUGUGUCUGAUACCCUGUGUUACUAACUGGUUCCUGUGUUGUGAGGUGUGUGUGUCUGAUACCCUGUGUUACUAACUGGUUCCUGUGUUGUGAGGUGUGUGUGUCUGAUACCCUGUGUUACUAACUGGUUCCUGUGUUGUGAGGUGUGUGUCUGAUACCCUGUGUUACUAACUGGUUCCUGUGUUGUGAGGUGUGUGUGUCUGAUACCCUGUGUUACUAACUGGUUCCUGUGUUGUGAGGUGUGUGUGUCUGAUGGCCUGUGUUACUAACUGGUUCCUGUGUUGUGAGGUGUGUGUCUGAUGGCCUGUGUUACUAACUGGUUCCUGUGUUGUGAGGUGUGUGUCUGAUACCCUGUGUUACUAACUGGUUCCUGUGUUGUGAGGUGUGUGUGUGUGUCUGAUACCCUGUGUUACUAACUGGUUCCUGUGUUGUGAGGUGUGUGUCUGAUGGCCUGUGUUACUAACUGGUCCCUGUGUUGUGAGGUGUGUGUGUCUGAUACCCUGUGUUACUAACUGGUUCCUGUGUUGUGAGGUGUGUGUCUGAUGGCCUGUGAUACUAACUGGUUCCUGUGUUGUGAGGUGUGUGUGUCUGAUACCCUGUGUUACUAACUGGUUCCUGUGUUGUGAGGUGUGUGUCUGAUGGCCUGUGAUACUAACUGGUUCCUGUGUUGUGAGGUGUGUGUCUGAUGGCCUGUGUUACUAACUGGUUCCUGUGUUGUGAGGUGUGUGUGUCUGAU
Oncorhynchus keta (chum salmon) is the source of this 1764-nucleotide long non-coding RNA. RefSeq lists it as uncharacterized. The transcript is spliced from 3 exons. The record is from RefSeq and is a predicted model, not a curated record. NCBI's taxonomy places the organism in Eukaryota, Metazoa, Chordata, Actinopteri, Salmoniformes, Salmonidae.